AGCGUCAGUCAGGCUAUCGCUCCGAUUCGUCGGGGAGGAAAGUCCGGGCAGCAUAGAGUACCGCACUUCCUAACGGGAAGGCUGAUAUUCGUAUCAGACAGCUAGUCGUACAGAAAAUAACCGCCUUAUCGCUUGCGUUAGGGUAAGGGUGAAAAUGAGAGGUAAGAGCUCUCGUCGAACUAUAGUGAUAUAGUUGGAGAUGAAACCUUGCGGGCUGAAAGACCAAAUAUACCAACGCUUGAGGGCUACUCGCUCGAGUUGGGUGGGUAGGUCGUUAGAGGUGUUUGGCGACAAACAUCCAAGAUAAAUGAUAGCCUCGUUCCGAUUUCGGAAUCAGACAGAACCCGGCUUAUCGACUGACACGUUUG
Molecule: RNase P RNA, 368 nt
Filed under: Chitinophagales bacterium
Lineage: Bacteria; Pseudomonadati; Bacteroidota; Chitinophagia; Chitinophagales
Description: RNase P RNA component class A
Rfam family: Bacterial RNase P class A
About the family: Ribonuclease P (RNase P) is a ubiquitous endoribonuclease, found in archaea, bacteria and eukarya as well as chloroplasts and mitochondria. Its best characterised activity is the generation of mature 5'-ends of tRNAs by cleaving the 5'-leader elements of precursor-tRNAs. Cellular RNase Ps are ribonucleoproteins.
Source: RNAcentral